This 497-nucleotide ribosomal RNA is filed under the name uncultured bacterium. RNAcentral's name for it is "partial 16S ribosomal RNA". It matches the Rfam family "Bacterial small subunit ribosomal RNA", at positions 28 to 507 of the family's 1533-position model. The record is from RNAcentral.
GAUGAACGCUGGCGGCGUGCCUAAUACAUGCAAGUCGAGCGAACAGACGAGGAGCUUGCUCCUCUGACGUUAGCGGCGGACGGGUGAGUAACACGUGGAUAACCUACCUAUAAGACUGGGAUAACUUCGGGAAACCGGAGCUAAUACCGGAUAAUAUAUUGAACCGCAUGGUUCAAUAGUGAAAGACGGUUUUGCUGUCACUUAUAGAUGGAUCCGCGCCGCAUUAGCUAGUUGGUAAGGUAACGGCUUACCAAGGCAACGAUGCGUAGCCGACCUGAGAGGGUGAUCGGCCACACUGGAACUGAGACACGGUCCAGACUCCUACGGGAGGCAGCAGUAGGGAAUCUUCCGCAAUGGGCGAAAGCGUGACGGAGCAACGCCGCGGGAGUGAUGAAGGUCUUCGGAUCGUAAAACUCUGUUAUUAGGGAAGAACAAAUGUGUAAGUAACUAUGCACGUCUUGACGGUACCUAAUCAGAAAGCCACGGCUAACUACGUG